Molecule: ribosomal RNA, 430 nt
Filed under: uncultured archaeon
Lineage: Archaea
Description: bacterial SSU rRNA
Rfam family: Archaeal small subunit ribosomal RNA
Source: RNAcentral
CACCGGCGGCCCGAGUGGUAACCGCUUUUAUUGGGUCUAAAGGGUCUGUAGCCGGCCAAGUAAGUCCUUUGGGAAAUCUGGUAGCUCAACUAUCAGGCUGCCAGGGGAUACUGCUUGGCUUGGGACCGGGAGAGGUGAGAGGUACCCCGGGGGUAGGGGUGAAAUCCUGUGAUCCUCGAGGGACCACCAGUGGCGAAGGCGUCUCACCAGAACGGGUCCGACGGUAAGGGACGAAAGCUAGGGGCACGAACCGGAUUAGAUACCCGGGUAGUCCUAGCCGUAAACGAUGCUCGCUAGGUGUCAGUCACGGUGCGACCGUGAUUGGUGCCGUAGGGAAGCCGUGGAGCGAGCCACCUGGGAAGUAUGGCCGCAAGGCUGAAACUUAAAGGAAUUGGCGGGGGAGCACUACAACGGGUGGAGCCUGCGGUUC